This 586-nucleotide ribosomal RNA is filed under the name uncultured bacterium. RNAcentral's name for it is "bacterial SSU rRNA". It matches the Rfam family "Bacterial small subunit ribosomal RNA", at positions 102 to 684 of the family's 1533-position model. The record is from RNAcentral.
ACGGGUGAGUAAUGUCUGGGGAUCUGCCCGAUAGAGGGGGAUAACCACUGGAAACGGUGGCUAAUACCGCAUAACGUCGCAAGACCAAAGAGGGGGACCUUCGGGCCUCUCACUAUCGGAUGAACCCAGAUGGGAUUAGCUAGUAGGCGGGGUAAUGGCCCACCUAGGCGACGAUCCCUAGCUGGUCUGAGAGGAUGACCAGCCACACUGGAACUGAGACACGGUCCAGACUCCUACGGGAGGCAGCAGUGGGGAAUAUUGCACAAUGGGCGCAAGCCUGAUGCAGCCAUGCCGCGUGUAUGAAGAAGGCCUUCGGGUUGUAAAGUACUUUCAGCGGGGAGGAAGGCGACGGGGUUAAUAACCCUGUCGAUUGACGUUACCCGCAGAAGAAGCACCGGCUAACUCCGUGCCAGCAGCCGCGGUAAUACGGAGGGUGCAAGCGUUAAUCGGAAUUACUGGGCGUAAAGCGCACGCAGGCGGUCUGUUAAGUCAGAUGUGAAAUCCCCGGGCUUAACCUGGGAACUGCAUUUGAAACUGGCAGGCUUGAGUCUUGUAGAGGGGGGUAGAAUUCCAGGUGUAGCGGUGA